This is a long non-coding RNA of Bombina bombina (fire-bellied toad), 812 nucleotides long. RefSeq lists it as uncharacterized. The transcript has 4 exons. The record is from RefSeq and is a predicted model, not a curated record. NCBI's taxonomy places the organism in Eukaryota, Metazoa, Chordata, Amphibia, Anura, Bombinatoridae.
UAACUAAAUCCUGUGCUCUGUAAUUUGAUCCUUAUGCUGAGUAUCCUGGCUUGUGCUGAAGCUAUCUACAUGCUCUCCGGAUCUCCACCUGAGCCUACUUACAGGAACACACCAAAAUCUAUUUCCUGCAACUUUUUGUUAUUUCUUAUGCUUGCUACAAAUAUCUUUGUCUCCUCAGCAUUUACUUAAGCUUAUAGGCUCACAGAUUGUGCUCUUCAGAAUUCCCCUGCCGUGCCUGUCAGCAGCUCCUCUGCUAUACUCACAGCCUGCACUUCCUGUUUGGCGAUACCGGACUCCAGGUAACAGCUGCUUUUCCUCUAGCAGAAUCUUUCACCAGACUACAGGAUUAAAGAUUUAUCAAGAAGAAGAGGGAGAAUUCUCAGAUACAUUAGGCCAAUAUCUAUGGCAACACCACAGAGCCAUUGCUCUUACCCUCCACUCCCAAUGAGCCUUCUCCGUGAUACGCAUUUCGAGGAUGAGUCAGGGAGCCAAUCAGAGGUCCCUGAUGAUUUCCAAGCCGAAAGAGAAGAAUCCAUUGGCGAGGAUCCUGCCCCAGCCAUAUCGCCAGCGUUGUGAGAUGAUGAGAUGCUGAUCAGGGGACCCAAACUGACCCCAUCCUGCCACAAUUAUUUGGGCAACUAGCUGAUGGCCUACAGAAUGUUGUCGGCACAAUCAAUCAGUUACAGGAGGCAAUACGUGGCUUUAUUUGAUUGUUUUAUUUUUUGGUUUAUAGCUCGUUUUUAUUCUAUUUUAUGGUUCGGUUAAAAAAAUAAAAUGUUUAUAGUAAAAAAAUAAAUCUAAAAAUAAUAGUG